GCCCAGCACCGAAUCCUGUAUCGUCCUGAUACUAGGAAAUGUGGUGUUUAGGCCGCGCUUUGUGCCGGUAUGACUCUCCUCAAGUCCACUUGAUUGUGGCUUCAGGCCCAGAGAGGGUGUAAGGCCCGUGGAGGCGAGUCGUCCGGUGCCCGGCACGUCCUUAGAGUCGGGUUGUUUGGGAAUGCAGCCCAAAGCGGGUGGUAAACUCCAUCCAAGGCUAAAUACUAGCACGAGUCCGAUAGCGAAGAAGUACCGCGAGGGAAAGUUGAAAAGAACUUUGAAGAGAGAGUUCAAGAGUACGUGAAACCGCUGAGAGGCAAACUGGUGGAGCUGAAAUGGUCUUGAGGAAUUCAGCCCUUCCUACUAGAGUGGGCGUCGGUUGUGAGAUCUCACGACUCCGCUGGCGUCUUCUUCGUGAAGGAUAGGUGCACUUUCCUCUUGAUCGGACCACGACCGGCGACUUGUCACUUGUCUGACAUGAGUGGAAGGUAGCGUUCACUUCGGUGAACGUGUUAUAGCCGCGAAUUUGGACGAGCAAGGCGUUGGAAUUGAAAUGCUAGGCGCUUGCCCUCUUGGGCUCGUACGUUGUCACUUUCAGGCGUGUCGCUGGCUUCACUGCCUUUGGCAGGGGGGUUGGAGACGUGUCGGUUAGGGGCGGCCUCUGCGAUUGGCGUCGAAAGUCUGUGGUUAUGAAGUAGGCAGUCCACCUGACCCGUCUUGAAACACGGACCAAGGAGUCUAACAUGUGCGCGAGUCAUUGGGCUCUACGAAACCUAAAGGCGCAGUGAAAGUAAAGAUCCAUUUUGAUGGAUUGAGGUGGGAUCCUGAGUCACGUGCUCAGGCGCACUACCGGCCCGUUCGACAUGUAUUCAUGCGGGCGGAGCAAGAGCGUACACGUUGGGACCCGAAAGAUGGUGAACUAUGCUUGCGCAGGUCGAAGCCAGAGG
RNAcentral lists this ribosomal RNA (947 nucleotides) under Notoplana queruca. Its description in RNAcentral is "partial large subunit ribosomal RNA". It matches the Rfam family "Eukaryotic large subunit ribosomal RNA", at positions 107 to 858 of the family's 3401-position model. The record is from RNAcentral. Lineage: Eukaryota; Metazoa; Platyhelminthes; Polycladida; Notoplanidae.